This 253-nucleotide ribosomal RNA is filed under the name uncultured bacterium. Its description in RNAcentral is "partial 16S ribosomal RNA". It matches the Rfam family "Bacterial small subunit ribosomal RNA", at positions 524 to 776 of the family's 1533-position model. The record is from RNAcentral.
UACGUAGGGGGCAAGCGUUGUCCGGAAUCAUUGGGCGUAAAGAGCGUGUAGGCGGCCCGAUAAGUCCGCUGUGAAAGUCCAGGGCUCAACCCUGGAAUGCCGGUGGAUACUGUCGGGCUCGAAUCCGGAAGAGGUGAGUGGAAUUCCUGGUGUAGCGGUGAAAUGCACAGAUAUCAGGAGGAACACCAAUGGCGAAGGCAGCUCACUGGGACGGUAUUGACGCUGAGACGCGAAAGCGUGGGGAGCAAACAGG